RNAcentral lists this long non-coding RNA (5306 nucleotides) under Homo sapiens (human). Lineage: Eukaryota; Metazoa; Chordata; Mammalia; Primates; Hominidae. The record is from RNAcentral.
AAAUAAAUAAGAUGGAAUAUAUACUAAAAAAGUACAAAAUAUAUUUAAAAAACAAAAGUUAAUAAAUUGUUGGUUCAUAUAAAAACAAACUUGGUAAAGAAAAUAAAAAUAGUAAAUUGAAAUAGUAAAAGAUAUGUUAAAAGAAACUGGUGAGUCGCAAAAAUGGGCAAAAUACAUAAAAAAAGAAUGGGAAAUACAAAAAUAAAAACUGAAAAAUAUGAAACAGUAAAAAAGAAAGAAAAGAAGUAAAUCUAAUCUACUUGUAAUUGGGUUUCCAGAGGAGAAGCAAAGAAAAUGAGACAGAGCAUUAUUUUGAGAAAUAAUAGUCAAGAGAGUUCUAUAUUUGAUUUUUUAAAAUCAACGGAUUCAAGAAUUCAGCAUAUUUCAAAACAAAUAAAAUCGUUGUAUUAGUUUGUUAUCACAGUGUUACAAAGAUCUUCCAAAGACUAGGUAAUUUAUAAAGGAGAGAGGUUUAAUUGACUCACAAUUCCACAAGGCUGGGGAGGCCUCAGGAAACUUACAAUAAUGGGGAAAGGGGAAGCAGGUAUGUCUUAACAGGUGCAGGAGAGAAAGAGAGCCUGUGAGAGCACAGGAAAAGCUACCAUUUCUAAAACCAUCAGUUCUGAGAAUUCACUCACUAUUAAGAGAACAGCAUAAGUGAAACUGCACCCAUAAUCCAAUCACUUCCCUCCCUCUAAACGUGGGGAUUACAAUUCCAGGUAAGAUUUGGGUGAUGAGACACAGAGCCAAACCAUAUCAAUCACAAUUACAAACAAAAUGAAUAUUAUAAUACUAACAAACAUCAAAGACAAUGAGAAAAUCUCUAAAAGCAGCUGGAGAAAACAGCAAGAAUCAUUAACUUUUAACGGAAACUAUGAAAGACACUAAAAAAAUAGAAUUAUAUCUUCACAAAUUAUUUUGAAUUAUCUCCAAAAAUUAAAGUAAGAAUACUUUCUAACAAAGCUGAGAAAAUUAUUAAACAGCAUUCUUCCUUUAUAAGAAAUAUUAAACAUGUUUGUCAAGUUAAAAAAGAAUGAUUUAAUAUAAGAAUGGAGAGGCAAAAAGAAAUACACCACUCUGGAAAGGACAAAAUAAUUGAGUAAAUAUCAAAAUACAUAAGCUGUUUACAUUUUAAACAACAGCAAGGCUGGGUGCAAUGGCUCACACCUUUAAUCCCAGCACUUUGGGAUGCCAAGGUGGGUGCAUUACUUAAUGUCAGGAGUUCAAGACCAGCAUGGCCAACAUGGUGAAACCCCAUCUCUAUUAAAAAUACAAAAAUUAAUUGGGUGAGGUGGUUCACGCCUGUAAUCCCAGCUACUCGGGAGGCAAGGCAGAAAAUUAGUUUGAACCCAGGAGGCAGAGGUUGCAGUGGGCCCAGAUCAUGCCACUGCUCUCCAUCCUGAGUGACAAAGCUAGAUCUAAGACUCCAUCUCAAAAAAACAAAUAAGCAAAACAAUAGCAAUAUCUUGUGGAGUUGAUAAUAUGUUUAGAAGUAAAAUGACAAAAAUAGCGACAUUGAGAAAUAAAAGGAAAUUGUUGUAUUUUUUAAUAUAAUAAGAGAAUACAUUUAAGAUACAUAAAUUAGAUACAGAUGCAUUUGGUAAUUUACAAGGUAUUUGCUAAAUAUAGUGAUACUAAAAAUUAUGACAAGUAUUAGUAAAGGAGAAAAUUGAAUAACCAAAACCUGAUUAAUGCAGAAAGUGAAAUAAAAAAUGGUAGGAAAGGAGAAAUACAACAAAACAACACCUAAAAACAAGAGCAUCAACGACAGAGGAAGAAAACAGAACAUGGAGAAAACAAGUAAUAAAAUAGCAGACCUAAACAAAAAUAUACAAAUAAUUGAAUUAAAUGUAAAUAGAUUCAGUACUACUUCAAGCAAAACAUAGUAGAUUAUGAGAUUGAAUUAUAAAUAAAUGCAACUACAUACUGCUUGAAGAAUGCAUGUUAAAUAAGGCAAUGCUCUAGGUUCAAAGCAAACAUAUACAAACCAAGUGACAUGGCUUUAUUACAAAAAAGACAAAGUGGUCCUUCAGAAAAAUAAAUGUGAUAAACUUUAAAGAUAACUAUUUCGUAAUUUUAAAAUGGUCAUUUCAACAAGAAGAUAUAAUCAAAUUUUGUAUGUACCUAAUAUACCUUUAUUUUAGGUAAAGAAAUAAAUGAUAUAAAUUUAUGGCUUUAAGUGCCUAUGUUAGAAAAAAGUGAAGCUUGAAUAUCAAUAAUGUCAGCUUAAAAGCCAGAAAUAAGAUGAGAAGUUUAAAUUUGAAGAAAAACAGAAAGCAGGAAAAAAUUUUAAAAUGAGAAAGCAUUGAGCUAGAAAACAGAUAUACUGUACAGAAUAUCAGUAAAGUAAAAUUUUGCAGCUGUAAAAUGAUAUGACAAAACCUCUCAAAACUGAUCUAGAAACGGGAAAACAAAUUAUCAAUAUCCUGAACAAAAUAGGAGAUAUCCAUAUAGAUUUUACAGUUAAUGAAAGAACAUUGAAGGAUAUUAUAAAUAAUCUUUUGCCAAUAAAUUUGAAAAUUCAGAUGAAAUUUACAAAUUAGUGGAAAGUUAAAAUUUACCAAAAUAGGUACAAGAAAAAAUAAUCUAAAAAUUACUUUAUAUGUAACAGAAAUUGACAUUUUUAUUAAACACUUUACUCAAAGAAAAUUCCAGGAUUGUGUAAGUACAACGACAGAACUCUAUUUCACAAGUCAGAAAAAUGCCUUUAUUUCAUGUUAGUCUUGAAUAAAUUUAGUGAGCACAGAAUAUUUAAUUGGCUAUUAUGUUACGUCAACAAAUGGAAGAUGUUUAACUCUUCCUCGGCUUCCGUUGUUGCUGUUGAAAAAUCAGCUUUCAGUGACUUGUUCCUGUGAAGUUAAUCUGUUUGCUUUUUUUCUCUCUAUUAAUGUUAAGAUUGUUCUCUUGUACUUGCUUUGACAGCACAUACAAUAAAAUUUGCAAUGUACAGGGAAGAUUAACUGACCCGCUGCACGAAGAUGACACACAAAUUUAUGAAGAUGGUUCUUUUUAUUUUCCUUAAAUUUUAGGGAUGGCUUCUCAGUGUGUUGCCCAGGCUGGUCUUGAACUCCUGGCCUCAAGCAAUGCUCCCACCUUAGCCUCCAAAAAUGUUGAGAUGACAGGUGUGAGCCACCACACUCAAUUGCUUAAUGUAUUUUAAUCAUAAAAUGAAAUCAGUAAUUUUCACAUCUUUGUUAUUUAAUAUGUGAAAGAAAGGGAUUUCUGCAGAUAAGAGUAAUUUUUCAAAACAAUAAUAAAUAUGAAUUAAAUUAUAUCAAUCAUACAGCUGAAAAUAAGUAAAAUUAAAUGUCAGAUUAUCUAAAAUCAUCAAUAUAUUCAGUGAAUAUCAAUGAUUAUAAGUGUUUGUUGAUUUUAAAAUCUGAGUGUUAUGUGUAAAAUUUAAGAAAAUACAUAAUAGUGCCUUAAGUAUUAUAAAUUCUAAUAGCAUAUUUUGGGAAAUAAAGUUAAAACUAUUAAUUGCUGAGUUUACAGUAUAUAACCUCAGUGGAUGAUAAUGAGAGAUUAGAUUAUUGUGGAAUAUGAGAAUAUGUAUAAAAGUCAGAAAGAAAUAUUUUUAGCUGAUAUUCUUAAUAGUUAAGGGGUAGGUUUAUUAUUUUCCAUAAGUGGAUUAGUGGAGAUUUUUGCAAAAAUAUAAAAGUAAAGAUAUCACUACUACUGCAAUUAUUUUGCAUUUCUAUAAUGUCUUUUUAUUGAAACACUUAUAAAUCCUAUAAAACAAGUACUGGUACAUGUUCUCUAUAAAAUAAAUGAAUAUGGUUCGUAAGACUGUCAAAUUCCUUUAUAACCUCACGAUACCUUAUAGAGUGGCUGUUACUCUUUCAAUAGGAAUAGCUAUGGUUCAUAGGAUUUAUGGGUAAUCUAUACUGCUGUGGUAUCUUGGGAGUGAUAGCUCCUUUAGAUAUUUUAUCUUCUGUUAUAACCCUUACAAAUAACACAGUUUAUUUUCAUGAGGCUUGAAAUAGCCAUAGCUAAUUUCAAAAGAAUUUACUUCCUGUGGUUGUAAUACUUUAUUAUAGAAAGUACUGUACAAAGAAGUUACAGUUUGAGUGACAGUUAAUUCUCACAUAUGUAUAAAAUAUAUUCCAUGUUAAUUAACUUACUAUUUUUUUUCCCUUGGCAUAGUGUUAUGUACCAUGAGGGUAGACUUAUAACCAUUAAACAUUUUAACUUUCUUCCAUAGUAUUGUGUGUGUAUGUGAAUUUGUAUGCAAUUAAAAUAAAUCAAUACAGUGAUGCAGGGUACAUUCUGGUCGACAUGUGUCUUAUUUUAGAUGAAUUGAAAUGACAAGCGUGAUAAAACUAUUUACAUUUUAUCUCAAAAUAUUUUAUUCCAUUUCCUUUUCAUAGACAUAAUACAUUUACUAAAAUAAAAAUAUUGACAAAAUGUUAUUCAUAUUCUCAGAAAAUGUUAAAACAUACAUUGGCACUUUUGUGGAGCAUCAUUUCUGCAAAAUGAAGUAAAAGUUGAUGUUCACGUUUUUGUCAUUAAUGAAAUCAUUUAUCCAGAAAAGUUUGUAAAGAAAAAUAAUGGGUAUAUGCAAACCUGCAAAGCAAAGUUAUUCAAUAAUACAGGCCUUGGAUAUGCGGUUGUAAGGCAAGAAAUCAUACUUAUUAUUGCCCUACUCUGAAAACAUUUCAGGUUGAAAUUAUUUAUAGUAUUCUAAUUGCUACUGCUAGGUUACACUUAACUAUCUAUAGAAAAAUCCAAAUAUUUUACAUCACAUAAUUACUCGGCACAAAAAUACCAAAGUUCUUGUCCAAAAUACGUAUUUCCUUUUAUCGCUUGGGGGAAUACUAUAGGACAAUUUUUAAGUACAGUUUCCUAAACAUGACCAAAAACAUGUUUAAGUCCUUAUUUUUGCUCACAUUACGUGUUUUUUUGUUCUUUUUCCCCUAGAUUUAUUGUAUAGUUGAGAAAUUAAAAAUGCAUUUAUUUACUGUGUGCCAUGUGAUGGUGUGCACCAUUCCCAUAGGUUUCUUUUUGUUAUUGUGAGAACAUUUAAGAUCAAUCCUCCUAGCAAAUGUCAAGUAUACAAUAUAGUAUAACUUACUAUAGUCACCAUGAUGACUUUAAAGUUCUAGAACUUGUUCACUCGUUCAUUCUGUUAAACCGAAUAUUUGUAUCCUUUGACCAGCAUCCACCCCAUUCUCUCCACCCUCUAAUCCCUGGUAACCCCCAUUCUACUCUGUUUUCUACGAGUUAAAAUGUUUUAGGUUGCACAUAUAAGAGAGAUGGGCCGGGUGCAGUGGCUCAUACCUGUAAUUCCAGCGCUUUGGGAGGCCGAG